Long non-coding RNA from Anguilla rostrata (American eel), 5033 nucleotides. RefSeq lists it as uncharacterized. The record is from RefSeq and is a predicted model, not a curated record. The transcript has 2 exons. NCBI's taxonomy places the organism in Eukaryota, Metazoa, Chordata, Actinopteri, Anguilliformes, Anguillidae.
GUGACUUUAUUCACUGAAUCUCAGGGUCAGUGGUUUCACUGCUGAAGCCAGAACAUUAGCUCUCCUCUCAUUUCAUAUGCUUUUGGAGCCAUCUGUUAUAAUCUGAAGCUUGUUCCAUAACAGCAAUAUGCAAACAUUUUCACUUUUAUAUUGCUAAUUAUUAUGUUUCAGGAAAUCUAACAGAUCACAGGUAAAUUUGUUACCAUUUCAGGGUUAUCGCCUUCCCUUGCAACUGCUCUCCAAGUUUUUGUACAGAACCACGUAUGUGCAUCAAUAAGAUUUUUUAUUUUAUAAUAUAAUAUUUUAAAAGACAGGUAGUGCGUGCACAUCUGACAAAGUUCACAGGUGCUAGCAGUAUUAUAUAGCAUUGACGAGGAAAAGGUAGUACCCACACUGUGAUUUCCAUGCUCCCAAAACAAAGUUAAUAGUACCGCUGCAUGAGUGUUUAGACCUUUCAGCUGUUUUAGUCAAGUAUAGGUAUACUUGAUGGAGAUUGUUGUAGGUCAAAACGGUCACAAUUACAUUUGUUUUGAAGCAUUUAAGCCCACAUCUGGAUAUUCCUUCCUUGCUUAACAAUAAUAUAAUAUUAAACUGUUUAACUUUACCUAUGUGAAUGUCAUAGUUAGCAUAACCGUGAUGUACACACAGGACAUAAAUAAUGCAGCCUUUUCACAUUAAGUGUGUCUUAGUCUUAGUUAUGUGUAUGACAAGGUUCUGGCAGGCUAAAGAUUUGCAGACAUCAUUAUUUUAAAUAUGUGUAUGUAAUACAUGUUUCAUUCUAGACAAAAUUAUGACCAAAAUUACAUUCGGGAAACAAUUCACCCAUUGGUUCUCGCAACAGAUGAACAAUAUGGAGCACUAAUCAAUCAGAAUCAUGGGCCUCGAACGUGUCACCUACAUGUAAAGGAUGUGUUAACUAAAACAUCUAAUACCAAUACGUACUCAGCCAAUAUGCAUUUCCAAAUGUUUGCUGCAUAAUAUCAUCUCAAUGAACUGUAUGUAUGGGGACAGGAUUUUGACUGUUCGCUACCUGGACAAAGUAUCCACCUGUGUCCACAUGUACUCUGAUCCACUGUGGCAGGUGAACAACGUAAGGCUGCCCAUCCAAUGGGUAGGCUGAGCAUACAUUUAAUUGUUUUAAAUAUUGCAUAGAACAAAACUUAUCUGUACAUUUUAUUUUCAAGUUUAUUUUAUCUACUUCAUAUUUUAAUACGUUAAAAGGCAAUCGACAACUGCUGUAGAUUUUAAUAUUAUUUUGACGCUAUUAUGAAUGAAACUGAGGGACCAUCCUAAAUAAAAUGAAAUACUUGUGGUUAGAAAGCUGCAGUUUGGUUACCUAAUAAUGACCUCUUUGGAUGCUUGCUUAUUUUAGUCAGUUUCUACCAGAUAUUAUUGUUGUUUUCUUUUAAAAGGCGUUUCCCUUAUUAUAAAUACAGAUUAUUUUUAAUUACACCAACCACAGCAAUGCAUGGUAUUCCACCAUGUGUUUGUGUAAAGUAACAAGACCAGGUUAAAACAUAGUAUGUGGCUGGACCUAACACACGUGAUCCAGCCGACCAAUGGUGUAUCUUCAUCACUCAGUCACUCAGUCACUCAGUCACAGACAUUUGUGUUUGUAGGGCUGGCCCCGCUGUUGCGGUCCAGCCAAAAAAAAUGUAUCACACCACUGGCAUCCAGCCAAUGGGCAAUUUAGAUGGAGGAAUGCACAUUUUUCCAGAUCCCACAUUUAAGUUUGAUGAGCUGCUGCAUUGGAUUUUCCUGUGCAUCUUCCACAGAAAAAAUCACAGCGCUCCUGUGGAUGAUUCUGAGUGGCUAGCUGUCACUAUUCUUUGUAACUAGGUCAAUUUCUCACGGUCAUAUUGAAAACUCAAGUAGCACAAUGUACGUGUAAACCGGAUUCCUACCAGUGGCAAUAGUGAUGGCAACCAAUGUUAUAGAGGUGGUGUGUGAAACACUGCUUGUUAGCAAAUGCCUCUUAUACCUACCGAAUAUUCAUCAUUUAGAUGCUAUAUCAGUGGUGGAAAAACACUCAAAAAGCAAACAGACAAAAUUGGAUAAGGGAUACAAGUUUUGUCCAUGACAAAGGUAGCCAGCUAGCAUUAGCCAUUUUUCAUCUUGCUUUUAUAGCAGUUAGCUAACUAUGCAUUUAGCAUACAUAUAGCUUUUUGGAGGAAGCUAUAUACCAUUAUAAAAUGUAAGCUAUAGUUCUUCAUGUUUUGAUAUGAAUAGGCAGAUUCUAGUACUUGCUGCCCCUACAUGAAAUGCCUGGUACUGCACCAUGCAUUUGCAUCAAGUUUCAAAUUUUGGCAUGCACAUUUUUGAAGGCUACAAUGCACAAGAAUGGCCUUGUACAGGUGCUUUAAAUCGAUGCGUGCGUACUAUAAAUUGGCAUUAUGUAAGUAAUAAUUACAGCCCUUAGCAGCUCUUAGCAACUACAGCUCUUCAUCUAUAAUCUUUUGUUCCCUGCUAUAAGGUUGUGGUAGUUUCUUCUUAAGAUUAAUGUUCCACCUCACUGCGGAACAUUAAUCAUCUCAAAUGAUCAUCUACCUUAUGAAGCUUUGAAGCAUUUGGGUUGCCACCUAAGUAAACAUGUACUCACACUUUGUCACUUACUGUUCUACACAACAGUAGGAACAGAAAAUUCAGCAAAUUGAAAGUGAGGGAAAAAAGUAUUUCAUAGCCUACUUUGGGUCAGAAAUUCCUAAGCUGGCUGUAUUUAUUUUUUCUUUAGCUAAUCAGAGUUGUAGCCUUUGGUAGAGACAGUUAAUUACCCUGUCAAUUUCAUUUAAUGCUUUAAUUUGCUAAACAAAUUAGCACUUAAUAAAUAUCAAGUUAUUAACACAAAAGAUGAUAGCACACACAUAUUCACCUAAGGUAAACUGAAAUAAAAUAAAAUAUUUAUUAAGGUGCAGUAUGCAGUGAUUUAAUGAAAAAUCUAAACAGCCUUAGAAAAACAGAGGUAUGCUCCCAGACAUCUGUUUUGUAAAGCUGGGAAGUCACUGCUGUUUAUUUAUAGGAGUAUGGUUAAAUUUGUGGUUAAAUGUUAAUCUUUUUGAGUCAUGGUAGUUAAUUUGCUGCUCAAUACCAUGGACACAGAAUUAAUGAUAGUCACUGGAGAUAUUCGCCUUUGGAUGCCCCAGUCAAUAUUUUCUUUGUGUUGAAAGAGACUUACUGCAAAAAUACAAUGAUUGGGUAUUAUUUUGCAAUUCUCUUUGAAAUAUAGAGAGCAUGCUCAUGCACAUUAUAGCUCAUGCCCCUUUUCUGCUCAUUUGAAGCAUUCAGUUUUUCACAACCUGUUCAGCACAACAGCCUCAGCUUUGAAUUUGGAAGAAUGCAAAAAAGUAUGCACUGUCCUCAAAAGCACAUGACGUCAGCCACCACUUCCUGUAAUUUGAGCUUGUGCAGUGGAAGGAAGAGAUUUCCUUAAGGAGCUUGAGCAAGCAGGCUGUGGGCACCCGAUUGACUUGAGGAGGUUGCUGGUGAGUGAUGUCUAGAUUGUGGAACCCACGCACGGAAACAGUGCUUAAACAGAAUGAGGUCCCCUCACCCAGUACGUUUUUUGAAGUUACUCCAUGAUUAAUUAGAAGGACAUUGGACAUCAGUUUUAAAAACAUGGCUUUUUUCAUUGUGCUAAUUGCGGCUAAUAAAUAUUAGUACUGAUAAAUGCCUCUAUAAAAUCACAAAUAACAUUUUGCUGACUCUAUUAGCUGUUAUUCCCCUUUCUUUCUUUACAGAGAAUGACCCAAACAUUGCCCUACUCGUUAUUGCUUUUUAUGUUUUGAAUGACUUGAAAUGCCGGUCCUGUUGCACUCUAUUACUCAGAAAUUUUCCUUGAUAUCAUUUUUACACCAAUGUCUAAUUUUUUGGCACAUUCUUUUAUCUGCAUCAUAAUAUUGACCAGUGUAACAACGGUUAUAAGUACAGUUAAAGGAAUACUAUUCAGAAUUUUUACCUUGAAAAUAUUUUUUAAAAAUAUUAAUUUUUUCUUUUCAAAUUUAAUUAUGAAAAUAUUUGUGCACCUUUACCUGUAUUCUAAAAUGUGUUUGGGACAUUUCUGGGUGUGGCCUUCUUUUCUCUGUGGGGAGGGUUUGGUGUGGCUACAGAGCCUGUGCUUUGGGAUCAGAUUUCUAAGUGUUUGUUGCUAGCUAGAUAGCUGCUGCAAUCGCCCAGAUACAGCAAAGCAAAAGCCGACAGGGCUCGUUCAAGAACGAAAAGUUAACCUUGGAAUUGCUUUUACUCUGUGGUGUCAGCUGUAGUUUGCCAUGGGGAUGAAAAGUGAUGGAGUUGGCUUGUUUUCUGUUGGAUCUGCAAGUAACAUUACCUCUUGCUGUGCAGCUAUGUUGCCAGACCUUCGGUUUUAAAAUUAUUUAUACAUAUCCAGUUUGUGGUCCCGGCCAAACAAUGUAAUGUGUGGUCCAAGUAAUUGAUGGGAGAAAUGUACCAGUAAUUUCUAAUGAAUUUGGGUGUCAGUGACUCGAUGAGGUACUCAAGGGUGAGUGGGCAGGGUUGAAGUUGGAGGAGACUUCUUUGAUUGUAAACUCUGGCUAAAAAUAUCACGUAAUAAAACAAUUAAUGUAAUUACUUUGUAAUAAGAAGUUGUAACCCCUGGUUAAUCUAAUAACCACCUGUUAAUGUAAUAAGUUUUUAUAUUAACCACCAACAGUUAUUACAUUAACAGUUCAAGUUUUUUAUUAUAUUAACUGGCAGUUAUUACAUUUAAGAGGACAAAGUUAUUACAUAACUUUCUAAUUAAUCCUUGAUGGCAUAAUUAGUCAAACCUGGGUUAAGAAUUUUUACAGGUCCUCAGGGCCUUCGGGCAAAGCCAGAGAGGCAGUCAUCUUAGAACCAAAGAUAACAUAUUUGAAAACCAGUAUAAUUUUGUAAAACAGUGUGUGUAUGAAACCACUGUCAAGUCAAGUAAGAGUGAGCAUUAUCAUCUUUCACUGUCAUUGAAAACAUUUUUGUCUGGAAUUUCCAUUAUUUUUAUGCUGUUUAUAGAGUGUCUAUUGGUCCUUCUUGAUGAAAGAUAUCUU